GCAGCCGCGGUAAUUCCAGCUCCAAUAGCGUAUAUUAAAGUUGUUGCAGUUAAAAAGCUCGUAGUUGAAUUUCGGAAUCUGUCCAUCGGUCGGGCUUCACUGUUCGUACUGGUGUGGUGGGUUCUUACCUUCUGAAUAACCAGCAUGCCAUUAAUUUGGUGCGUUGGGGAAGCAGGACUAUUACCUUGAAAAAAUUAGAGUGCUCAAAGCAGGCCAGUGCCUGAAUACAUUAGCAUGGAAUAAUAAAAUAGGACGGCAUGGUUCUAUUUUGUUGGUUUCUAGGAUCACCGUAAUGAUUAAUAGGGAUAGUUGGG
Molecule: ribosomal RNA, 314 nt
Filed under: uncultured Acaulospora
Lineage: Eukaryota; Fungi; Glomeromycota; Glomeromycetes; Diversisporales; Acaulosporaceae
Description: SSU rRNA
Rfam family: Eukaryotic small subunit ribosomal RNA
Source: RNAcentral